UCAUUUUCUGCAAAUCAAGAUAAGCUUUUGUACCAUUUUAGAAUAUUCAAUACAGUACCGAUGAUAUUAUCAUAAAUAUUUUUUUCAAUGUGCAUUACAUCCAGAUUAUGAUGAAGUAGUAGCAGCUUCCAAUACGGUAGUUUGAAAAAGAUGCUUUGCUUUGUCUAAUUCAGCUUAGCUUCAGUACGCUUCCGCUUGCAAGU
This 203-nucleotide long non-coding RNA is filed under the name Elaeis guineensis (African oil palm). RNAcentral's name for it is "long non-coding RNA (EGUI_LNC073905)". The record is from RNAcentral. Lineage: Eukaryota; Viridiplantae; Streptophyta; Magnoliopsida; Arecales; Arecaceae.